GCGGCUGUAGCUCAGUUGGAUAGAGUGUUUGACUACGAAUCAAAAGGUCGGGGGUUCGAAUCCCUUCAGCCGUACCA
Molecule: transfer RNA, 77 nt
Filed under: Flavonifractor plautii
Lineage: Bacteria; Bacillati; Bacillota; Clostridia; Eubacteriales; Oscillospiraceae
Also listed under: 8 other names
Description: tRNA-Arg
Rfam family: tRNA
About the family: Transfer RNA (tRNA) molecules are approximately 80 nucleotides in length. Their secondary structure includes four short double-helical elements and three loops (D, anti-codon, and T loops).
Source: RNAcentral